Gymnothorax javanicus (giant moray) is the source of this 72-nucleotide non-coding RNA. Lineage: Eukaryota; Metazoa; Chordata; Actinopteri; Anguilliformes; Muraenidae. The record is from the annotation of a GenBank genome assembly.
GUGUUGGUGGUUUAGUGGUAAGCAUAACUGCCAGCUACGCAGUGGACCCGUGUUUGAUUCCCGGCCAACGCA